This 507-nucleotide ribosomal RNA is filed under the name uncultured bacterium. RNAcentral describes it as "partial 16S ribosomal RNA". The record is from RNAcentral.
GGAGUUAGCCGGUGCUUCUUCUGUGAGUGAUGUCCUUCCUGCCGGCUAUUAACCCGCAGGCCUUCUUCCUCACUGAAAGUGCUUUACAACCCGAAGGCCUUCUUCACACACGCGGCAUGGCUGGAUCAGGGUUGCCCCCAUUGUCCAAUAUUCCCCACUGCUGCCUCCCGUAGGAGUCUGGGCCGUGUCUCAGUCCCAGUGUGGCUGAUCAUCCUCUCAGACCAGCUACGGAUCGUCGCCUUGGUGAGCCGUUACCUCACCAACCAGCUAAUCCGACAUAGGCUCAUCCGAUAGCGCGAGGCCCGAAGAUCCCCCGCUUUCCCCCGUAGGGCGUAUGCGGUAUUAGCCUGGGUUUCCCCAGGUUAUCCCCCACUACCGGGCAGAUUCCUAUGCAUUACUCACCCGUCCGCCGCUCGCCACCAGGGAGCAAGCUCCCCGUGCUGCCGCUCGACUUGCAUGUGUUAGGCCUGCCGCCAGCGUUCAAUCUGAGCCAGAAUCAAACUCUGA